AUGGCCCUCUCCCGCGCCGCGGCGCUCCGCCUCCCGCUCCCGCGCCUCCUCCGCGGGCCCUCCGCCUCCCUCAUCGCCGCCGCCGGGGCCGCCUCCCGCCGCCGCGCCGCCGCGGGGCCCGCGCCCGCCCUCCGCUUCCUCUGCGCCGCCCCCUCCCCCUCCUCCUCGCGCUCCGGGAAGUCCGUCCCCCGCGCGCGCCGCCGCGACGGCGACAACGACGGGGAUGGGGCCGCCGUGACCAAGGAGCGGAUUGUGCAGGUGGAGCUCCACAAGGAGGCCACCGACGCGUACAUGUCUUACGCCAUGUCCGUGCUGCUCGGCCGCGCCCUCCCCGACGUCCGCGACGGGCUCAAGCCGGUGCACCGCCGGAUACUCUAUGCAAUGCAUGAAAUGGGCCUUGCAUCUCGUAAGCCAUACAGAAAAUGUGCCAGAGUCGUUGGUGAGGUACUCGGUAAAUUCCAUCCUCAUGGAGAUUCAGCCGUCUAUGAAACUUUAGUGCGAAUGGCUCAGGACUUUUCAAUGAGGUACCCACUUGUUCAAGGACAUGGUAACUUUGGUUCAAUAGAUUCCGAUCCUCCCGCUGCAAUGCGAUACACAGAGUGCCGCUUGGAUCCAUUAACAGAAGCCAUGUUCCUGACUGAUUUGGAGCUGAAUACAGUUGACUACAUUCCGAACUUUGAUAAUUCACAGAAAGAACCAUCUCUGUUGCCAGCUCGUGUUCCAUCACUACUGUUGAAUGGAUCUUCUGGAAUUGCAGUUGGAAUGGCGACAAAUAUCCCUCCCCACAAUCUGGGAGAACUUGUUGAUGCGCUCUCUGCUAUAAUUCAAAACCCUGAUGCUACGCUCCAAGAACUACUGGAAUACAUGCCUGGUCCUGACUUUCCUACAGGAGGGAUACUCAUGGGAAAUGAUGGUAUUUUGGAGGCCUAUAGAACUGGGCGUGGUCGAAUUGUGAUGAGAGGCAAAACCGUCAUGGAAACAAUUGAUGAGAAAACCAAGCGCACGGCUAUCAUAAUUAAUGAGGUUCCGUACCAGACAAAUAAAUCUACUCUAGUCCAAAGGAUAGCUGAGCUUGUUGAAGACAAGGUGUUAGAAGGCAUCAGUGAUAUUCGGGAUGAAAGCGACCGUGCUGGAAUGCGUGUAGUUAUCGAGGUGAAAAGAGGUGCAAAUCCUGCCAUUGUCCUGAACAACCUGUAUCGUCAUACAGCAUUGCAGUCUAGUUUUAGCUGCAACAUGGUAGCUAUUCUUGAUGGGCAUCCAAAACUGAUGGGACUGAAGGAAAUUCUUCAGGCGUUCCUUGACUUCAGAUGCUCUGUUAUUGAAAGGCGUGCAAAGUUUAAGCUUUCACAAGCUCUAGAAAGAAAGCAUAUUGUGGAGGGCAUUGUCAUUGGUCUUGACAAUUUAGAUGCUGUAAUUCAAGUGAUAAGAGAAACAUCAAAUCACACCGUGGCAAAGGAAGCUUUAGCAAAAGAAUAUGGUCUAUCUGAGAAGCAAGCAGAAGCACUUUUGGACAUUACACUUAGGAAACUUACUUCCCUUGAGCGGAAGAAGUUUAUUGAUGAAGCUAAUUCAUUGUCGGAGAGCAUUUCAAAGUUAAAUGAGCUCCUGUCAAGCAAGAAACUUAUGUUUCAGCUUAUCGAACAAGAAGCAGCUGAUUUAAAGAGCAAAUUUGCUACCCCACGACGUUCUUUCCUAGAAGAUUCAGCAAACGGUGAAGUUGAUGAUAUGGAUGUUAUUCCUAACGAAGAAAUGCUUUUGAUUCUUAGCGAGAAAGGCUAUCUUAAGCGGAUGAAUCCUAACACCUUCAAUUUACAAAACCGGGGGACAAUUGGAAAAUCUGUUGGAAAGAUGCGAACGAAUGACAAUAUGUCGGAUUUCAUUGUCUGCCAAACACAUGACCAUGUUCUUUAUUUCAGUGACAAGGGGAUAGUAUACUCUGAACGUGCUUAUAAGAUACCUGAAUGCACAAGAGUUGCUGCUGGGACUCCAUUAGUACAGCUGCUCAAUUUGUCUGAUGGGGAGAGAAUAACCUCCAUUGUUCCUGUGAAUAAAUUUGUUGAAGACCAAUAUUUAGUGAUGCUGACUGUUAACGGCUAUAUCAAGAAAGUUCCUCUUAAUGCCUUCGCAUCAAUCAGGUCAACAGGAAUCAUUUCAAUGCGCCUGGUUCCCGGCGACGAGCUCAAGUGGGUCCGUCUCUGUAGGGAUGACGACCUUGUUGCUUUGGCUUCACAAAGCGGGAUGGUUAUAGUCAACACAUGCAACAGGCUUCGUCCGCAUGGAAGAACUACAAGAGGUAUGGGUGCAAUGAGGCUAAAGGAAGAUGACAAGAUGGCAGCCAUGGAUAUAAUUCCAUCCACAACCCAUACAAUGCCUGGAAAAACUGUCAGCAGGGUCAGAGACUUGAGUCCUCCAUGGCUGCUCUUCAUAGCUGAAAAUGGUUAUGGGAAGCGUGUGCCCCUAAAUGCUUUCCGUCAAUCAAGCUUCAAUAGAGUAGGCUUGCGAGGCUACAAGCUUCCAGAAGAUUGCCGCUUAGCUGCUGUGUUUGUCGUUGGGGAACCGACUGAUGACGAUGCAAGUGAGGAGCAGGUUGUUUUAGUUAGCCAUGGUGGCACUGUAAACAGAAUCAAGGUCAAAGAUAUAUCCAUCCAGGGUCGUGCGGCAAAGGGAGUAAUUCUGAUGAGGCUGGAGCAUGCUGGGAAGAUCCAGUCAGCUUCACUGAUAUCAGCCACAGCCACGGAAGAGAUCUUGGAAGAUUGA
This 2757-nucleotide ribosomal RNA is filed under the name Triticum aestivum (bread wheat). RNAcentral's name for it is "partial small subunit ribosomal RNA". Lineage: Eukaryota; Viridiplantae; Streptophyta; Magnoliopsida; Poales; Poaceae. The record is from RNAcentral.